Papaver somniferum (opium poppy) is the source of this 388-nucleotide long non-coding RNA. RefSeq lists it as uncharacterized. The transcript has 3 exons. The record is from RefSeq and is a predicted model, not a curated record. NCBI's taxonomy places the organism in Eukaryota, Viridiplantae, Streptophyta, Magnoliopsida, Ranunculales, Papaveraceae.
CGACUGAAUCUGAUAAGCUUAGAAUUGGAGAAGGGGAUUAGAGAGCUCAUACUACGGCAGAAUGGGUUAGUUCUCUGUUAUCAGAAAAACGCGCACCAAGUGCUUGUGUAAAGGCCUGAACAAGGGUUCGUAUGGACAGCAGGAGUAUGCAGGGAUUUGGUUGAAUCCUGUACACCUUUAGAGCUACUCUUGUGACACAUCAGGAAUCUUUGGAGGCCAAGGUUAACGAAACCAAGGCAAUGGUUAAGUUUCAAUUAAAGACAAAUGAAGUUUUUUGGCUCAAUGCUGUGAAGACAAAUGAAGUUUUGAUGGAGGAGAUCACAGAGCGUGACGAAGGUGCUCUCAAGUAUUUGAAAGAUAUCAAUUGGUGCAGGAUUGAAGAGCUCAA